UUAACACAAAUUUGUAUGGAGUUGGAACAGUGCCCCUAGCGGCAAACGUAGGCAAACGUUCCAACUCCAUACAAAAUUGAGUAA
Molecule: microRNA precursor, 84 nt
Filed under: Bombyx mori (domestic silkworm)
Lineage: Eukaryota; Metazoa; Arthropoda; Insecta; Lepidoptera; Bombycidae
Description: mir-2807 microRNA precursor family
Rfam family: mir-2807 microRNA precursor family
Source: Rfam by way of RNAcentral